GUAACGGUUAUACUAUAGCCAAUUUUUGCUCCUCAGAUCCUUUUCCUUUCUCUCUUUCCUCCUUUUCGACCUCUCUCUCUGUUAUCUUCAUCCUUGCUCUCUCUCUCUCUCUCUCUUUUCCAUCUCUAUCUCAACCCGAUCAUUCCUGCCUUACUUUGUCUCUCGCGCAGAUACCUCCAUCUCUAUCUCCACAGAUAGUCCUUUGGCCUCUCUCUCUUCCCUCUGUUUCAUCUCUCUCUAAAACCCUAAACCGAUCCAUAUGAAAAACCCGAAACCCUUGAAAUCGACUCCUUCAAAUCGUCUUUCUAAUAGAGAAGAUGAAGACAAAACCCUAAGACGACGCAAACAAAUGAAGAAGAUGAACAAGACGAAAGCAUGAGAUUGCUGAAAUUGUCUGAAAUCCAUCACGCAUCUUGAAAUCCAGCCCUAAUGUCAUGUUCCAAGUACUCUCUCUACAGGCUUGCUUGGCU
Molecule: long non-coding RNA, 470 nt
Organism: Camellia sinensis
Lineage: Eukaryota; Viridiplantae; Streptophyta; Magnoliopsida; Ericales; Theaceae
Source: RefSeq, a predicted model, not a curated record